RNAcentral lists this unclassified non-coding RNA (253 nucleotides) under uncultured Gammaproteobacteria bacterium. RNAcentral describes it as "contains 16S-23S intergenic spacer region". It matches the Rfam family "Bacterial small subunit ribosomal RNA", at positions 524 to 776 of the family's 1533-position model. Lineage: Bacteria; Pseudomonadati; Pseudomonadota; Gammaproteobacteria. The record is from RNAcentral.
UACAGAGGGUGCAAGCGUUAAUCGGAAUUACUGGGCGUAAAGGGCACGUAGGCGGUCGAUUAAGUUAGUUGUGAAAUCCCUGGGCUUAACCUGGGAACUGCAAUUAAGACUGAUAAGCUAGAGUCGAAGAGAGGGAAGCGGAAUUUCCGGUGUAGCGGUGAAAUGCGUAGAUAUCGGAAGGAACACCAGUGGCGAAGGCGGCUUCCUGGCUUCAGACUGACGCUGAGGUGCGAAAGCGUGGGUAGCGAACAGG